GCACUGCUGAUGAGAUCCGGACCAGGUCGAAACAGCCGUCCAGUGC
Molecule: non-coding RNA, 46 nt
Organism: Echinostoma caproni
Lineage: Eukaryota; Metazoa; Platyhelminthes; Trematoda; Plagiorchiida; Echinostomatidae
Source: Rfam